AACGCAACUUGCGCCGAGCAAUCGGCAUGUCUGUCUGAGUGUGUAACUAUCUAUACGGUUUUCGUGAAGUGGUGCGAGUGUUGGUGUGAGAGGAAAUGACUUGUCAGAUCCUAUUCUAACCAGUACUGCACUGAAUGAUAGCAAGAUGAUGCGAAAAGUGUCUAGUUCAGGUGCCAAGCAUCCCAGAACAAAAACACUCACGCUCCAACUUAUCUCAUUUCACACCUCAGAUCAGUCAAGAUCACCCGCUGAACUUAA
Molecule: unclassified non-coding RNA, 258 nt
Filed under: uncultured fungus
Lineage: Eukaryota; Fungi
Description: partial contains 5.8S ribosomal RNA, internal transcribed spacer 2, and large subunit ribosomal RNA
Source: RNAcentral